This is a long non-coding RNA of Chelonoidis abingdonii (Abingdon island giant tortoise), 482 nucleotides long. RefSeq lists it as uncharacterized. Lineage: Eukaryota; Metazoa; Chordata; Testudines; Testudinidae. The record is from RefSeq and is a predicted model, not a curated record.
UAAGUCCCGCCUUCCCACCCCCCCGUUUCUGUUGGCGCCAAAGAGUGGCGCCGUCGGCCAUUAUGAAAAAAUGUGUGUGUGUGUGUAUGUGUUUGACUAGGGGAAGUGUUGUGUAUGUUGGUGCUUGGGUAAAUGGAGAGAAAAAGGUGUAUUAAAUAUCAGGGUGGGUUAAGAAAAAAGUUAAAUAAUAUUGAAAACUAGGUUUAUAAAGAGAAUUUACUAAGGGAAAACCUAUUUUGUAAGCACAGGAUAAAAAAGCAUUGAAACUAUUCCAUACCAAUGUAGGUUAAGAAAAAAGCAUUUAAAAACAUUAAAAACUAGGUUUAAAAAGGGAAUUUACUACGGCAGAGCCUGUUUGGUAAGCACAGAGUAAAAAAAGUGAAUAAAAAAGCAUUGAAACUAUUCAACAGCAGUGUAGGUUAAAAAAAAAAGAGAGCCCCCUUUGCAAAGGGCAAAGAUAGACAGCACAUGGUGGAAUCAAA